CCUGCCCUCGAGCGACGCACGACUCGCACGACAGGUCGUUCGACGCCGCGCUCCAUCCCUUCGCCGCCGCCGAUCCAUCCCUUCGCCGCCGGCCAUCCAUCAUUGUGCCGCCGCCGAUCCAUCCCUCCGCCGUCUCCCUCGCACUUCAAAGCCAGCGGCCUCCAGCGGACCAUCCACUUUAGGACACGCCGCCGCCAGCCUCCUCCCAGACUACUCCCUGCACCGUGCCGUCACAGACCUCCUCCCGUGCGCCUCCCCGCACGCGCCGUCGCCUACAUACCCCUGCGCACCACCCCGCACCGCAACUCCCUCGCUCGUGCCCCCCUCAGUUGCACACAGUUCGGCGGCGUGCUAGGGUUAGCACUGACGACGCCUUCAGCCGCACCUUCGAGGCAGCCCUCGUCUCUCUCUGCCUCCCCGAGGAGAACCACCUCGGCUUGCCCCCCUGACCGAUGAUGUCUAGAUCGAGGUCUUCGUUGCCGGAUCAAGGUCUGUUGUUGUCGGAUCCAUGAAGAUUUGGCGCCGUCGUCGCGCUAGUUCUGGUUCAUCGACCAGAUCGAUCCCAUCAGAGAGGAGGAGGUUCAUAGUGGAGGGCCGCUGGAGGAGAGAGAUGACCUCACAGGCACCGCAUCACGCGGCUGGCCCUUGUUUACGCCAUGGCGAGUGACCCCAGCAACACGUGCCAAGGCUACCAGUGCGAAAAGCGGGGCCCAAUGACUGACACCUCGCCAGUGAGAUCAUCUCUAAUCUCUCCUCUUGAUUGUCUUCCCGCACUCGCCCAUAUGUUCUAACCAGUAAAUUGCGUUUCUGCCACCGAUGUUGUCGUCGUUCUUGCAGAGAUCGUUGGUGCCCAAUGGCACACCGAAGUAUCCCACUAUGUGCACGUGCUCGGCAGCUUGCCACGAGACUCUCUAACACCAACAUCUGGGUGGUACGUACGCAGGACGUGGGCAACUUUGACAAUCCAGUCAAUGCACUGAUUCAUGGAUCAUGUAGGUUGCUCUACAGGUUGGUCACAAGACACUGGUAGAAUUGCACCUGCAAGCUCUGAAUACUCAUGUUCUUUGUUAGAUCAUCAAGGUGAUUAGCCUGCUGCUUAGAUUAGGACACAACGGAGGUUUAUCAGCAUGUGUGCGACUGACAACCCGUUGCAGGCUUGCAGCUGUGCUUAGUCAAUGUGGACUAUUCUUUCCAUGACACAAGAAAAAUGUCAACUAUCCUCAUGGGAAAUUAGUUGCACAAUUAUUUCAGAUAAGUUUCGUAGUACAGUUACUCCUGCAUCUGCCCAACUUGUUCUGUUGAUGAUAUUUAUAUUCAUAAAUUAGCAACGAGAACAAAAGGACUUUUAAGUGUUCGACCCCAACAGAGAUCUCAUUGAUAUUCCGUUGUUCAAUGUUCAGUAUGGGAGGAGUAUUAUCUUCUACCGAUGAGGUGGAAAAUGUACUCCCAAUGAAACAACAGAAGAUUGCACCAUGAGGAUGCCACAAAAUCAUCUGCAGAAUAUGCAUGCUAACAGAAUUCAGCAAGCCAACGUACAACGAUUCUCCAUGUUGGAAAGGAACAAGAAUUCUGAUGACAAUCCUGUCAAUGCGUUGAUGGAUAGGCCGUGCAGGUCCCUGUCGAGGCCUCGCGCCAAGCGGAAGAGCGGGACGAGGACACUUGACAAGGACGCGCCAGCUCACAGUUAAUCGUGCACAUUGGCCAGGAGUGUAUUAAUUUUUUGGGCUUGAAAUUAACUACUUAACCAGGGUACGUGAUGUAUUUACUAAUGUGGAUUUCUGUUGUUCAUUUGCAGCGGUAUUGGACUGAAUGGGGAAUCUAUUUGUGCAUCUAAUUUGUCAAACUAGGGGCAUAGCAAUUUUCGCUCAUAGAUAGUGCGACAAUCAUGUUAAUGUGAUAAAAGGAUAUGAAAGGUGAUGGUAUGCAUGCUAUUGAGGUCUAUCAAAUGAUGGGAAACCUCUAAUAUAUCAUUUAACUCCUUUAUGGGCACAAUGGUGAUAUAUCUUACAUAUCUGUAUAUUGCAUCUGAAACUUCAAUGUAGUUAAUUGCAAAAUUUACCUUAAACAAGAUUGAGCGACCUGGCAGAUGCUUAUGAGCUUUUGAAGCUCGAUGGUUCAUAUUAUCAUGGAUGAGAUGACAAGGAAGAGCGUGAUAUAAGAGGUUUGGGUCGGUCUUGGCAUGUUUUAGAUUUCUUGAGGUAGGUCAAUCAAUCUGGCAUAAUGCUAUGAAGGAAAAAUUUGCAAAGAUUACUCAAAAGGAUAACUGGCUUGCAUGGCUCAAAAGGAUGUUGGCGGCGUUUCUCUUUGCAUAUGAUCAGUCGGUUAAAUUGCUAAAACAUGACCACUUGAUAUCAUCUCUUGUGAAUAGUCUGUGACUCUCAUGUCACACGGCAUUUCUCUUUGUACACAUAUUUUGUUAGCCCGUGCGUUGAUGGGGUUCUAUUUGUAUGUUUUUGAAGAAUGAACGUUUCAUGCUUACUGUACAUCAUGCUACCACUAAAAGGCAACUAAAAUUUAGUUUCAAUAAUCUUCAGUCUGGGGAGGUAAGCUGUUUAUCUUACUUUCACUUUUAAAUUGUUUGCUGAAUCACUACACGCAUGUGCUCCUAUCUACUACAUUUUUCUCAAUUGUAAGAUGUUAUGAAUAAUUUGUUUUAAUAUAUACACAUGGUUGUGUGGCUUGCACAAGUGCAAAGUCCUUCCAUUUAUAUCCAUUCUAUUGAGAUGGACUGUGUUGUGCAGCUUAUCAUGUGUGUUAAAAGAGAAUGCAUGUUAGAGCAUGCUUUUCAUUUCAGAGUCUUUGACAGUUGAUCUGAAGCUACAUUUUAGCCAUUUUGAUACCACUCACUUCUAUGGUAAGUUUGUGUGGCUGACCACAUUCAGUCCUAUAUUUUUCUCUACCACAUAAGUACAUGUAUGUUCCUUGCCCUCUUCUUAGUUGAUAAGAGUCACAUGAAUUAGAGAAAGCAUACUGUCAUGAAUUUCCUUUGGACCAUACUUUAGCUGUUUUACAUGGCUUCAUAAACUUUCGAUCCGUCUGGAUUUGAGAUUUUUUAUGUGUCCAUUCUUUCGAGACUAGCACACAUGAAAGAAAAAGCUUUCGUCCUCCUGAGAUCUUGGCUUCCGGCAUAUUAGAUGGACGUAGUUCUAUUUAUAUGGUUUUUUCCUUUUCCUUUUGUUUGGCCUCGGUGCUUUUCCUUUUUGCCAACACAUAGGAGUCUACGACUCGACUGCAGCAUUACUACAUCUGUUAUUUGUAAAGCUAAAGAAAACAUUGAAAGAACACCUGCCAUUUUGUGGCCUGUAACUUCUAUUUGAGCUCUUUUAAGUCAAGUUAGUCAUUACCAUGUCUGCUGGAUAUGACAUCGCUCGUUUUGUAAGAUUUCAGGUUCUUAGCAUACCUCUACUCUACCGAAUCAGUAUACUUUAUCAGGAUCAUAGAUAUGUCACCCAUUAUGUUCCACCCUUAAUGAGAUUUAUGAAGUGUCAAAUCGUCACAAGUAUUUUAUCUAGAGCAGCAAUACCUGAUUUUUUUGUCACAAUGUCCAUGUUUAUUUAUCUGUUUUUUUUUUGUAAUGACUACAUUUUGAUUCUUAAUGAAGAAAAGUGUGAAUGCCCUCUUGAGUAUAGAAAUUCCUAACUAAAUGUAUUUUUUGUUAUUGGAUGAUGAAACAGGAAGGUUAUUACCUUAACCACACUUCUGAUUUUGGUCUUGUAGUACAUACAAGGCAGCAACUAAAUGUAUUGCUAAUCUUGCAGCCGAGACAAUCCUACAAGCUAGAUCAGGAGAAUAUGAGGUCCCAGAAAGAGUUAUCAUUCUUGCAGUUCAAGAAUGAGGAUUGAUGAGAGAUACAACAGAUGAAGACAAUUGAAGUGAAGGGGAGAGAGGGAGAAAUAUGGUGCUUUGUCUUUCUGCAAUGAUAGAGUGGUGAAGGAGACACGAUGACUAUCGAGGAGGAAUGAAGCGGGCGAGAGCGUGGAUAUUUGUUUAUGUGAAUAGAAACCAGAAGUGUCAUGUUUGAUAUAUGUUCAUAAAUUACAACAGUUUAUGCAUUCAGUGUGUAUAUUAUUUUUUUGUACGUGACAACGCACAAGCAUUGAACUAACUGUAUGAAAGGAAAACAGUUCAAUUC
This is a long non-coding RNA of Triticum aestivum (bread wheat), 4132 nucleotides long. RefSeq lists it as uncharacterized. The transcript is spliced from 3 exons. NCBI's taxonomy places the organism in Eukaryota, Viridiplantae, Streptophyta, Magnoliopsida, Poales, Poaceae. The record is from RefSeq and is a predicted model, not a curated record.